RNAcentral lists this transfer RNA (62 nucleotides) under Ictidomys tridecemlineatus (thirteen-lined ground squirrel). RNAcentral's name for it is "Spermophilus tridecemlineatus (thirteen-lined ground squirrel) tRNA". It matches the Rfam family "tRNA", at positions 1 to 62 of the family's 71-position model. From Rfam's summary of the family: Transfer RNA (tRNA) molecules are approximately 80 nucleotides in length. Their secondary structure includes four short double-helical elements and three loops (D, anti-codon, and T loops). Lineage: Eukaryota; Metazoa; Chordata; Mammalia; Rodentia; Sciuridae. The record is from Rfam by way of RNAcentral.
GGGGUUGUGGCUCAGUGGUAGAGCACUUGCCUAGCGUGCAUGAGGCAAAGGGUUCAAUCCCU